GCAAAUAUUAGGUUGUAUUAUAUGGCUGCAGUGUUAUCUUCAGGAAUCCUCCUCCGUGCCCGGCCCAGCAUGAUCCAAUGGACAGAUAUGGAGAAGACACAAUUUCCAGAUCAGUCCCUCAUAGAUUACAUGUGGAUGCCGAGAUAGUCCAGAACAAAGAGGCCUGACCUAUUCCCGACUACACAUACCACAAUAGCGUUCUGGGAUGAGUUCAUGCUGGCCAUGGGCUAUGGAAAUACUUUCCAUGCCAAUUCACCCAUAUCGGCCCUUAAAGUCAUGUUGCCAGAUAUUUCACUCAAAUACUGGCGUGAGGCAGGGAUCACACAAAUCUCCCAUCAGAUAGAAGACAAUGGGGUAAUGUCAUUUCCAGCACUACAGAAGCGAUGGCAGAUACUAAUUAGUGCUAUCUUUUCCUAUUCACAGCUAAAGAGCAUUUUGAGCGCUCAUACGACAUUAUCGCAUACCACACAGAGUUCUAGCUAUGCUCGCCUACUAAACCAAAGGCUCUUACUCUGUGCUACAAGUCCUGGCACGAGCUCUUACUAGCCAAACCCCAACAGCACAAGACACAGUGGGAAAUAGACUGUGGCAGGCCCUUGACGGAUGUGGACUGGCUCCAUGCCCUCAAUGACUUAUCUAGAUGUACGAAAUGCUUUCCACAUAUUGAGGCCCAUAGAAAACUUUUGUAUCGCUGGUACAUGACCCGUCAGAGACUCCAGCGUAUAUUCCCCAAUUCAUCCCCGACAAGAUGGAGGUGUGCUUCGGAUAAAGGCACACUCAUACAUUUGUGGUGGUCCUGUGGGGGCAUUCAGCCCUUCUGGACUAUAGUACGUUCUGUCCUUGAUACACUGGGCAUCCCUACUUCGUAUUAACGGUACCUUUCUGUCACUGCUGCUGCUCCCUGAAUCCCUGACCUAUAGCCAGAAAAAAGUCACUGCUUUGGUUCUACUAGCUGCACGAAACCUUAUAACUCAAAUAUGGAAAUCCCUAGACUGCCCUUCCCUGUCCCAGUUACUUGACAAAAUAUGACUGUUCCACACCUAUGAGCGAAUGGCGCUCACAUGCAGUCAGACAACACAGAGGUUUGGUGAAGCUUGGCGAGCAUGGGAUAGGGAAUACGGACAGGGAGCUGGUGAUGGCGGCCUCAUUGCUUCCUGCUGAUAUUUCGACCCCUUUCUUAACUGUAAUCCUGGCCUUCGUUCCAAAGGUCAACACCUGAGUUGGUCCUCGAACAUCCAACUUAUCCAUCACCAACAUAGUUGUUCUGGAUGCUCAACACCAUGCCCAUACCUCAACAGUAGCCUGGGUACUCCUUACACACAUUACGGCAAUGCCUUGUUGAACACAGGACCUAACUGGGUAUUUGCUUGUACUGACAACUGUACUUUAUCAACCAUGAGGUCUCCAUAAAGGAUUCAGGUAGACGGUCUUCUAGUUAUACAGAUAUAUAUGCUCAAUGUACGAAUAAAUUCAAUUGUGUACACCAGAUAUAGUUGAGGAGGUCUAUAUUGAUCAUUUAGGAUGUUGAUGAUGCACAGAUGGUGUGAUGUACCCUGGCUAACCAAUUCCACUUUUACUUUCGGUACCCCUAUUUCCUUUAUUAUACAAAACGAAUAAAAUUAUAAAUGUAAUAUAUAUAUAACUGGAUUAUUCUGAUAAGGGAGACAACGUACCGCUGAGCGCCUCUCUGGAGUAUCCAGAACUGAACCAGUUAUCAAGCUGCAAAAAAUUUCUAACCCACUGCAAACAGUUUAAUAUUUCUACCUAGCUCAGUCUGUAGCUGUAUAUGGUGUAAUAUUUCUACCUAGCUCAGUCUGUAGCUGUAUAUGGUGUAAUAUUUCUAUCUAGCUCA
This is a non-coding RNA of Pelobates cultripes (western spadefoot toad), 1852 nucleotides long. The record is from the annotation of a GenBank genome assembly. Lineage: Eukaryota; Metazoa; Chordata; Amphibia; Anura; Pelobatidae.